UCUCUUUGGCAGCAAAAACACUAUAAUUGAAAUGACAAGAAGCAGAUUAGCAUGGUCCUGUGCAAGGAAGACAUGCAAAUUUGUGGCACAUUCAUAAUUUUA
Small nuclear RNA from Ochotona curzoniae (black-lipped pika), 102 nucleotides. The record is from RefSeq and is a predicted model, not a curated record. Lineage: Eukaryota; Metazoa; Chordata; Mammalia; Lagomorpha; Ochotonidae.